UACAGAGGUCUCAAGCGUUGUUCGGAUUCAUUGGGCGUAAAGGGUGCGUAGGCGGCGGCGUAAGUCGGGUGUGAAAUCCCAGGGCUCAACCCUGGAACUGCAUUCGAUACUGCGUCGCUGGAGGACUGGAGAGGAGACUGGAAUUCACGGUGUAGCAGUGAAAUGCGUAGAUAUCGUGAGGAAGGCCAGUGGCGAAGGCGGCGCGCUGGACCUCUUCUGACGCUGAGGCGCGAAAGCUAGGGGAGCAAACGGG
This 253-nucleotide ribosomal RNA is filed under the name uncultured bacterium. Its description in RNAcentral is "partial 16S ribosomal RNA". It matches the Rfam family "Bacterial small subunit ribosomal RNA", at positions 524 to 776 of the family's 1533-position model. The record is from RNAcentral.